AUUGAACGCUGGCGGCAGGCCUAACACAUGCAAGUCGAACGAGUGGCGGACGGGUGAGUAAUGUCUGGGAAACUGCCUGAUGGAGGGGGAUAACUACUGGAAACGGUAGCUAAUACCGCAUACCAUCAGAUGUGCCCAGAUGGGAUUAGCUAGUUGGUGGGUUAACGGCUCACAAAGACGACGAUCCCUAGCUGGUCUGAGAGGAUGACCAGCCACACGGGAACUGAGACACGGUCCAGACUCCUACGGGAGGAAUCAGUGGGUAAUAUUGCACAAUGGGCGCAAGCCGGAUGCAGCCAUGCGGGGUGUAUGAAGAAGGCCUUGGGGUUGUAAAGUACUUUCAGCGGGGAGGCGUUACCCGCAGAAGAAGCACCGGCUAACUCCGUGCCAGCAGACGCGGUAAUUC
This 406-nucleotide ribosomal RNA is filed under the name uncultured bacterium. Its description in RNAcentral is "partial 16S ribosomal RNA". It matches the Rfam family "Bacterial small subunit ribosomal RNA", at positions 30 to 526 of the family's 1533-position model. The record is from RNAcentral.